CCUACGGGAGGCAGCAGUGGGGAAUAUUGGACAAUGGGCGCAAGCCUGAUCCAGCCAUGCCGCGUGAGUGAUGAAGGCCUUAGGGUUGUAAAGCUCUUUCACCGGAGAAGAUAAUGACGGUAUCCGGAGAAGAAGCCCCGGCUAACUUCGUGCCAGCAGCCGCGGUAAUACGAAGGGGGCUAGCGUUGUUCGGAAUUACUGGGCGUAAAGCGCACGUAGGCGGAUAUUUAAGUCAGGGGUGAAAUCCCAGAGCUCAACUCUGGAACUGCCUUUGAUACUGGGUAUCUUGAGUAUGGAAGAGGUAAGUGGAAUUCCGAGUGUAGAGGUGAAAUUCGUAGAUAUUCGGAGGAACACCAGUGGCGAAGGCGGCUUACUGGUCCAUUACUGACGCUGAGGUGCGAAAGCGUGGGGAGCAAACAGGAUUAGAUACCCUAGUAGUC
This 440-nucleotide ribosomal RNA is filed under the name uncultured bacterium. RNAcentral describes it as "bacterial SSU rRNA". It matches the Rfam family "Bacterial small subunit ribosomal RNA", at positions 338 to 795 of the family's 1533-position model. The record is from RNAcentral.